This 215-nucleotide unclassified non-coding RNA is filed under the name Hevea brasiliensis (rubber tree). The record is from RNAcentral. Lineage: Eukaryota; Viridiplantae; Streptophyta; Magnoliopsida; Malpighiales; Euphorbiaceae.
AGAUGCUUCGUGAUAUAUGCAGAGGGUUGAUGUGCAUGCAUCGGAUGAAGAUUGUCCACCGUGAUCUAAAAAGUGCAAACUGCCUUGUGAACAAGCACUGGAGUGUCAAAAUAUGUGAUUUUGGGCUCUCGAAAAUAAUGACAGAUGCACCUAUGAGAGAUACUGCAGCAGCUGGCACUCCUGAAUGGAUGGCUCCAGAGCUCAUCCGAAACGAG